Molecule: long non-coding RNA, 5856 nt
Organism: Heterocephalus glaber (naked mole-rat)
Lineage: Eukaryota; Metazoa; Chordata; Mammalia; Rodentia; Bathyergidae
Source: Ensembl
AUUUUAUUGGAAAGAAGGUACUUUUCAGCAGGACCUUUUCCCAGAUUCUGGAGGUGUCUGAUCUCUGUACUCUUCUCCUUAUGGAGCCACCCCUGAAGGAUGAGCUAAGACCUCAAUGAUCCGGUGAUGCUGUGAUGCUCCAGGACAAGAUUACACCAGCUGAAGACAUCCUGGGAGGAACAAAAUCUUCAUCUACUCAGUUCCUCAUUGUUCUUGGAUUUCCACCGCCACUGUCAUUUGUUACACUUUGUUUAUCCCGAUGUACUGAAUUCUCUAUAAGUCAUUUGUUAAUUUAUUUCUCCUGAUGUACUGAAUAAAAGGUGCAGUAAGCUCCGGGGUCUUUCGUCUUUGCUGUCCAGAGCAGCAUUGAUCAGGCCCAAAGCUCAGGUUCUUCUCAAAGUCUCAUUUUUCCUAACUUUUGUGUAUAAUAAGUCAAUUCACCUUGUGCUGUCAUGGCUCGAGGGAGACUAGGACUUACUGCAGAGGUUCUAGUAACAUCCCCUUUCCCUGUUCCCUACACCACAAGGUAUUUAAGCUUGUGUGUCUGAUUUAUUUCACUCAGUAUAGUAUCUUCCAGGUCAUCCAUUUUCCUACAAAUGCCUCAAAUUCUUUAUAGCAGAGUAGUAUUCCACUAUUAUAUAGAUACCACAUUUUGCUUAUCUAAUCAUCUGUUGAUGGGUAUACAGGCUGCUUCCAGGAUUUAGCUAUUACUAAUUGUGCUACUAUGAACAUUGGUAUGCAUAUGUCACUGCAGUAUGAUGAUUUAAGCUCUCUGGGGAAGAUACCUAGCAGAGGAAUAGCUGGUUGUAUGGAAUUUCUAAUUUCAAUUCUUUGAGAAAUUUCCAUACUGAUUUCCAUAAAGGUUGUACUGGUUUGCAUUCCCGACAACAAUGUAGAAAGAUUCCUUUUUUGCCACAACCACACCAGCAUUUAUUAUUCUUUGAUUUCCUAAUGAUUGCCAUUCUUUCCAGAGUAACAUGGAAUCUUACUUAGUGUUGUUUUAAUUUGCAUUUCUCCAAUGGCCAGAGAUGUUGAACAUUUUUUCAUAUAUUUGUUAACAAUUUGAAUUUCUUCCUCUGUGAAGUGUCUGUUCAUUUCCCUAGCCCUUUUCUUGACUGUACUUUUAAUUUUAGAUGGUUUAAUAUUUUUGAGUUCUUUAUAUAUUUUAGAUAUUAGUCUUCUGUCUGGGGAGUAGUUGGCAAAAUUUUUUCCCAUUCUGAAGUUUUUCUCUUCACCGUACUGACUGAUUCCUUUGCUGUACAAGAGCUUUUAAGUCUGAUAUAAUCCCAUUUGUUGAUUCUUAUUGCUAUGACUUGUGCAGCUGAGGUUCUGUUUAGGAAAAUCCUUUCCUACACCUGUGUCUUCAAGUGUUUUACUUAUUUUAUUUUCCAGAAAGUUUAAUGUUUCUGUUUUAAUGUUUAACUAUUUGAUCCAAUUUUAUUUUAAUUUAGUAUAUGGUGAGAGAUAACGUUCCAAUUUCAUUCUUCUACAAGGAAAUAACCAGUUUUCCCAACACCAUUUGUUUAAUAGGCUUUUCUCCAACAUAUGCUUUUGGACCCUUUGUCGAAGAUCAAAUAGUUGAAUAUUCCAGAGGAGGUUUUUAAAUCCUCUAUUCUAUUCCAUUGAUGCAUGUGUCUGUUUUUGUUCCAAUACCAUGCAGUUUUUGUUACUAUUGCUUUUCAAUAUAGCUUGAAGCCUGGUAUUGUUUUGUAGCCUGCUUUGCUCUUAUUGCCCAAAAUUAUUUUUGCUAUUUGGGGUCUUUUUUGGUUCCAUAUGAAUUUUAGGAUUGUUUUCUUUAGAUCUGUAAAGUACCUGAUUGGUACUGGAUUGAAUCUGUAUAGCAGUUUUGGAGGUAUGGCCAUUUUGGCAAUAUUGGUUGUGCUUAUCCAGGAGAAGGGACAUCUUUCCAUUUUCUAAUGUUCUCUUCAGUCUCCUUCUUCAGAGUACUGUAGUUUUCUUUGUGGAGGUGUUUUACUCCCUUGGUUAGGUUUAUUCUUAGAUACUUGAUUUUUUUAAGUGACUGUGAAUGGUAUUGUUUUCAGAAUUUCCUUCUCAUCCUGUUCAUUGUUGGUAUAUACAAAUGCUAAUGAUUUUUGUGUGUUGAUCUUGCAUCCUGCUACUUUGCUGAAAUUAAUAUUAAUUCUAAGAUCUUUUUGGUGGAGUUUUUUGAGUCUUCUAUGUAAAGUAUGUAAACUGCAAAUAAUGACAGUUUGAGCUCUUCCUUUCCUAUCUGUGUUCCUUUUAUUUCUUUCUCUUGCUUAAUUUCUCUGACCAAUGUUUCAAGUACUGUGUUGAAUAGCAGAGGUGAUAGUUGACAUCCUUGUCUUGUUCUUGAUUUUAGGGGUAAUGCUUUUAGUUUUACCCAUUUAGUAUGAUGCUGGGUAUUGGUUUGUCAUAAGUAGCCUUUAUCAUAUUUAGGUAUGCUCCUUCAAUGCCUGUAUUCUUCAGGAUUUUUAUCAUGAAGGAGUGUUGGAUUUUGUCAAAAGAUUUUUCUGUGUCUAUUGAUUUGACCAUGUGGUUUUUGACCUUGGACCUGUUUAUGUAAUGUAUUACAUGCAUAGACUUAUGUAUGUUGAAACAUCCUUGCAUCUCUGGGAUGAAACCUACUUGGUCAUGAUGUAUGAUUUUUUUUAUAAUGCACUGCAUUCUAUUUGUUAAUAUCUUGUUGAGGAUUUUUGCAUCUAUGUUAAUUAAAGAGAUUGACCUAUAGUUCCCUUUUUAGAGCUAUAGUUGGGUCUUUAUCCGUUUUGGGAUCAGGGUGAUAAUGGCUUCCAUAAAUGAAUUUGGGAGCACUCCAUCCCUUUCAAUUUCUUUGAAGAGCUUGCGAAGUAUUGGUGUUAUAGCAUCCUUAAAGGUUUUGUAUUCAACUGUGAAUUCAACUGUGAAUCCAUCAGGUCCUAGGCUUUUUUUAGUUGGUAGAUUCUUUAUUACUGAGUCAAUUUCAUUGCUUAUUAUUGGGUUGUUAAGUAUAUUUAUGUCUUCUUAGAUUAAUUUUGGUAGUUUUUAUGUGUUUAGGUAUCUGUCCAUUUAUUCAAAAUUUGCUAAUUUGUUGGAAUAUAGUUUUUCAAAGUAGUUACUAUCUUCUGGAUUUCGACAGUGUCUGUUGUGAUUUCACCUUUGUCAAUUCUAAUUGCAUUAAUAUGAGUCUUUUCUCUCUUUCUCUUGGUGAGUCUUGCUAAGAGCUUGUCCAUUUUAUUUAUUCUUUCAAAGAACCAGCUCUUCUAUUCAUUGAUGUUUUUCCGCAAUAUUUGUGUCACAUAUUAGACAUAGAUAUUGAACAUUAUUCAUUUGACUUGAGAGUACUAUAGGAGGAUGUGAUACAUGUAGAUGAUUUCCUAAGUGUCCAUGAUUUUAUCCUCUUCAUCAAGGAUCUGUAUCUUUAUGCUACAUUACCAAUUCCUGCUUGUGCACAAAAUGGGAAGGAUAGCCUCCUCAAAACCUUAUUUUCCUUUCAAUAACAUUGACAGGGUGGAUUUUCUGUCAUGAGACGUUCACUGGCAUGAGAAAUUCCUCAGGAAUUCCUGGAUGUUAAUUCUUCUGGGAUUCACUGGAAGAAAGGCAAAAAGUCUGAGUAGAGUCAACCUUGCAUUACAAAUAACAGUUGAUCCAAGUCAGACACAUUCCAUUCUAAGGUAUUGCCACAUGACUAAAUCCAGGGCAAAAGUGAUUUUUUUCAGCAUGUGAGUGAGUGUGUAUGUGUGUGUGUGUGUGUAUGUGUGUGUGUGUAUGUGUGUGUGUGUGCUAUACAGGCAGGUGCUCUAAUUGGCACUGUCCAGCUGCUGCAGAAUGGGACAGUGUCAUAUGCUCUAGCUGUGACUGAAUUCUAGAAAGGUGAGUGGCCAGACCCCUGAGUCUCUGCUGGGGCAGCUCCCCUCCUUCCAGAGCAAGGCUUGGUAUGCUCCCUGCACAUGACUUCCGUUCUCCAUUCUUGCCGUCCUACAUCCGUUCUUUACAACAAAGCCAGAGUGAUGCUUGAGAAAUAUAGAAAAAAAGGAACACUGAGAAUGUUAAUCUGAUUGUUUCAAGUUUAAAUGGUCUCAGGACUUCUUAUAGUACUGAGAAUAUAAUAAAGCCCCAUAGCCUGCUCCUUGGUCUCUCUUUGCUCUCCAUCUGGCACCGCUUUCCCUUAUCAACCAUGCUCCAGAGCAGUGGCCUUCUUUGGGCUUCCCAAAGUGGUUAAAUGUGUUGCUUCCUUCAUACCUUGCCUCUGUUUGCCUGUCUCUGCCAGCAGUGCUCUUUCUUGCCUCUUCGUGUUCAUAGCUGUCUUCUUUUCUGACAAUCAGUUUCAGUUUGCUUAGUCCACUAGUGAUUAUGCUGAUAGUCUAUUGUUUACAUACUAAUUUUCAGUGUUAUGUUUUUAUUUCUCUGUUGUCAACCUUCCUUCCCCUAAACCCAAGUAAACUUUCAUGAGUACAGGGAUUUUGUCAGUCUUAUGAAUUUCUAAUCUAACUGCCCAAUGCAUAGUAGGCUCUCAAAAAAUAACAUUUAAAUGAAUAAAUAAAUGUAAAAUUGAAAUAAUAAUACUGAUGAAAGAACAUUAUUGUGAUUUUCAAUGAAAUAAUGUCUAUAAAGGGCUUAAAAUAGAAAUGACACAUAAAAUGACCAAUAAUUCAUACCUAUUAUCCUUGUUGUCCUUAUUAUUUUGUAAUUUCUCUGGUGAUUUUCCUCUCUGACCUUAAUAAUUUUUUGACCUUUAUAAUUUGGAAGUUUUGUUUGAUGCAAAACAACUCCUGCUUCAAUUAUCUAAUUUCCCAUUUUGUGGACCACACAACAUUAUAUUCUUUUGAGCUAUUUGAAAAAUAGCAAGUUGAGCCCUUGGCAUUCUUUUCUUUUCCAAGUCAAAUAAUUCUAAUUUACUUCAUCUUUUCUUGUAAGUAUAAUACUUGGAGAAGUAACUUUAAGAUCCUUGAGGCAAGGCGACUACAUUAAGCUAUCACAUACCCAUUAGCAAAUCUGUGCGGCUCCAAUUUGUCCAGACAUAAAGGAAACUGCCCACACAAUUUUCCUUUUUGAAAAUUUUAACUUUGCAAUAGUACUUCCACCUACUCUUAAGGGGCCAGAGUAUCCUGUACAUGUUACUUUUAAAAAUACAUUGACGGGGGCGCAGGGAUUUAGCUCAGUGGUUCUGCUGCCUGCCUCUCAAGUGCAAUGUCCCGAGUUCAAUCUCCAGUCCAAAAAAAAAACCCCAACAUUGACAGUCAGGCAUAGUAGCCAUGCCUGUAAUCUCAAAACUAUGGGAAACAGAGGUAGAAGGACUGUGAGUUUGAAUCCAGUCUGGGCAACUUAGUGACUUAGUGAGACCUGUCUGAAAAUAAAAAGCACAUAGCUCAAUGCAAAGGCCUUGAGUUCAAUGUUGAGUACCACAAACAAACAAAAACUCUGAAAAAACAUUGACAAAUAAAGGGUUUGGUCUAUUCAAAUCUGUUCACUACAAAUUUUUAGAUAGGUGCUUCUACUGCUUCUUAGCUUUCUCACUCAUAAGAAGAACAUAAUUGAAACUAGCAUCUGUAAAAUCAUUUCAUAUCUGAAAUAAAUGCUAUUGUAUUUCAACACGAUGGAAGAAGUGAUUUGGUCUGAGUAUGUCAACACACAGAGAGCAUACUUAUGUCCUGGGAUUUCUUUAUGUUUCAUUUAGGUCCUAAAAAUGAAAAACACUAUACUUGCUAUAUAUUUCUUUUGAUAUUUCCCACAGGAUUUUAUUUGGAGAUUCAUUAGUUUGAUAGAGAACAGUAGUUAUUACGUUAAAAAAAAGAAAAAAUUUAAUGUACAUGUACCUGUAAUGAGUCAGAGAAGUUGAUGGAACAUUUUAACAAUCUGAGAAAUAAUUUAUAUAUUAUAGAUUUGUAGAAUGGGAAG